AUACGUAGGAUCCGAGCGUUGUCCGGAUUUACUGGGCGUAAAGGGUGUGUAGGCGGCUCGGCAAGUCUCAUGUGAAAUCUUCCGGCUCAACUGGAAGGGGUCGUGGGAAACUGCCAGGCUCGAGGGCAGCAGAGGAAAGUGGAAUUCCCGGAGUAGUGGUGAAAUGCGUAGAUACCGGGAGGAACACCAGUGGCGGAGGCGGCUUUCUGGGCUGUACCUGACGCUGAGGCGCGAAAGCAUGGGGAGCAAACCGGAUUAGAAACCCCUGUAGUCC
RNAcentral lists this ribosomal RNA (274 nucleotides) under uncultured bacterium. Its description in RNAcentral is "partial 16S ribosomal RNA". It matches the Rfam family "Bacterial small subunit ribosomal RNA", at positions 523 to 796 of the family's 1533-position model. The record is from RNAcentral.